Molecule: ribosomal RNA, 234 nt
Filed under: uncultured bacterium
Lineage: Bacteria
Description: partial 16S ribosomal RNA
Rfam family: Bacterial small subunit ribosomal RNA
Source: RNAcentral
GCCCUACGGGACGCAGCAGUGGGGAAUAUUGGACAAUGGGGGCAACCCUGAUCCAGCAAUGCCGCGUGAGGGGAGAAGGCUUUCGGAUUGUAAACCUCUUUCUUAAGGGACGACCAUGACGGUACCUUCGGAGGAAGCUCCGGCUAACUACGUGCCAGCAGCCGCGGUAAUACGUAGGGGGCGAGCGUUGUCCGGAGUUAUUGGGCGUAAAGGGCGUGUAGGCGGCGGGGUAAG